This is a long non-coding RNA of Oncorhynchus tshawytscha (Chinook salmon), 789 nucleotides long. The record is from Ensembl. NCBI's taxonomy places the organism in Eukaryota, Metazoa, Chordata, Actinopteri, Salmoniformes, Salmonidae.
GGAAGGGUUAGUUCAUGACCGGUGUGGGGUGAUUCUGUGGUCGGGAAUUUUUAAGAUUGGGCUGUUAGGUCAAGGGGAAAAUGAGGCCUCCUAGCCCUCUCCUGAUCCUGCUGUAUGUCACCCUGUCCCGUGCCAUGAAGACAGUCUCCAAGAGAGGCUCAGGGCUUACAACCAUGCUGACAACCAUCCGUGGAGAUCAGUGGAUAAAGGGCUGUACAACGGGCCGCACCGAAAAAAACGCAUGGUUGCCAAGAAAGCGAUUAGCCACUGUAAUCGAUGGGGGCUCAGGGCCGUACCAUUCUGCUCAUCUGAUGAAGUUGCUCAUGGGUGAGAUUCACACUUUGAAGACUGAGAUUGAGUCAUUGAAGGCAGACCAUCAGAAAGAGAAACAUUAUCUGAGGGCAGAGAUACAGGCGACAGCUGAUGCAUUGGUCCAGAGCCAGGUAGUAUUGUCAGAGAGUCACUCCUCAUUAGCGGAGAGUCAGGCGGAGAUGUGUAACCGAAGAGAGAUACCACGAGUAGGCAGAGAAUUCAAACUGGGAUGGAUCCCGAGGCAAAUGUAGCUUACCAGUGAACCUCCGGGUGUUCAUCAUUAAUACUGUGUCUCAGAAGUUUCCGUACAUGACUGAUGCAACCCGAAAAAGCAUUAAAGACAGAGUUAAUGAGUACCUGAGGUCACCGAGAAAGUCUGGACAUGACCUACACUCCCUUAUGUAAGGAAUUAGGCUCUUUCCCAUUACUACAGAAUGUACUGUAUGCUAUGUUUCGUUAAUAAAAUAAUGAUAAAAA